Molecule: long non-coding RNA, 2635 nt
Organism: Ictalurus punctatus (channel catfish)
Lineage: Eukaryota; Metazoa; Chordata; Actinopteri; Siluriformes; Ictaluridae
Source: Ensembl
AACCCAGACAGGAGGCAGCUUUCCUCGCUCGUACUGUAAACUUCCCUCCGUCAGAUGACACAGAGUCUCUGAGAUCAGAGCAGAUCAGAUCAGAUCCGACACUGCGUUUGGAGCUGUGUAUGAUCGGGUUUAUGUAGGCAAAUGAAUCGGAAGUGGAGCUCGGGGAAGUUUCUGGGGAAGAUACUGAUGUUUCACAAGGCUUGAUUUGGAAGUAAACGCUUCUCACAAUCCCCUCAUCCCCAGCUCUGGCCUGGAAAUGGAAGUUCAGCUCUGCAUCUGCAGCAGGGGGUUCGUCCUGCUCUCCCGUUUCCCAUCAGACCGAGCUGAACCACAGUCACAUUUAAAAACCAGCACCAAAAGGAUUGAAGACCUCUGGGCCUCUAGUGUGGGUCAGUACUCCCUCUGCUCUUCUCUCUGAGACUCCCACACUAUAAAUAAGCUCCUCUAGCCUGGAAGUGAGACUGGGAUAUGGUGUGCAGUUAUGGGAUGUGUUUAUAAAGUUUACACAUUUGCAUGUGGUCCCCAGACACAUGUUAUAACAACCCAGCUGUUGUAGACAGUAAUAAUGAGAUUUUUGUGAAUUUUAGAUAUUUAGAUAUGUAAAAUGUGCUAGGUCUCGGGGUCAAGUUGCAGUGUGUGCUGGAAGUCCAUAGAUGGCAGCGUUCGUUCUGCUGUGCCUUUCAAAAAUGGAUGUGCAGACCUACGGCCUGGGGAACUAAAAUGAUGUAAGGCGGUUUGCCUUACAUACAUCUCGGAUCUGUUUAUUUGUGGAGUUAGAUCAAGCUUGACAGUUGGCUAGCGAGCUCAUCCCUUCUCCGAACCAUUCCGGAUCAGGCUAUUUAAUAAUCUGAAUGUUACUGAUACACCUGAAAUGGAAAAGUCAAAACCUCCGGAGUCAAGCACUGAAGAAAACAGAUCCGCAUCUCUUUUUUAUUCAACUGUAUUGAUGGACAAGCGCUCACAAGGUGAGCCGAUAUGGUCCUGCUUCCCCUUCUGUUAGAAGCUGACGUGCCAAUGGAUACAGUUUAACAGUAGCAGCAACAACUACGCUUUUUUGCCCACUCAGCUAACGCAGUCAGACCAAAUGUAAGUAAAAUGCUAGUUCACUGAAGGUCAAAGGACGCAGGCCGUGAAGGAAAUAAAUGAGCGCCCUCACGCCUUUUAUGUAAAAAGCACUAAGACGGAAGUUACAUGUAGUCUUGUGAUCCUGACCCUGACAUGGACGGUCAAAUUAUGCCAACAGAAAAAACGAUGAUCUAUAGGGCACUGUUUACACAACAAAUGGAAAUGGCAUCAUCCCUGAAUUGCUUUUGUAUGGGAAGUGCCUAUUGUGUGCUUCUGUGUGUGGCCUUGCUGUCUGAGGCUUUGUCAUAGUCAUGCUCGGACCUGGUUUUAAUAAUAGCCCACGGUAUCAUGGGAAAGCGUCUUCCCUCCCCUGUCUCUGCUGUUCUGGGUUUUUCUGGGCUGUUCCACAGAGGUCGGCUCUUUAGCCCCGUUUCGCCUGCGGGACCAAAUUAACACUGGCUAGAGUGACCCAUUUACAGCAGGACCUGAAAGGAACCUGUGGAACAGCGCUGUAGCCUACUUACUCUACCCUACUUACCCCGACACACACACACACGCAUGCACUUAUACUGACCCGCAUGCACAUCCAUAUCCCAGCACACACACUCAUAUACGGUAUACCUAAGUGUAUGAAUUAUGUGGGUUUAGUUUGGAGGGUGUUUCUGUCCUUCAUAAUUUGUUUAUAAAAAGCAGUGGCUAAUUUGACUAAUUUAAGUUGCUGCAACGUCAAUAAUCUUUAUACGUUACAGUGUAGCUACAGUCUGACGUCGUAGUUUUGUUGACUAACAUGCGGCAUGAGUUAUUACUUUGUAAAAAUCUUCAUUUGGUGUGUAUAUUUAAACAUAAUGUGUGACACACCUCAACUGUCUAUGCAUAGCAUGCUACUUGUUCUGAAUCCCAUAUGGAAGAAUGGUUUUUAUUACAUGGAUUCAUUAGCAUGCAUAGAGAACAGGAGGCAUAUGGAAACACUGAUCAGUCUGAGCAAAAUAAAGUCCGGUGCAAAACCAUCCUAUGGUUAAAUCUCCUGCUAAUACAUCAUACCGCCGCAUCAUAGUUAUAACACAUAACACCAAAAAAGAAAUACUUAUGCUAGCCUGACUCAAAAAAUGUUUUAUUUGCAAUGCUAGGACAAAAGACCACAGUCACAAUCACUGUGACUGUGACUUUUUUUGUCCAGGGAACAAACAAAGUACUACAAUAAAAAAAAAAAAAAAUCACAUAUAAUCAUUUGUUUACCUUUAUUAACAAGUGAUGUAUUAAUGCACGUAACUAGCUAAUAAUCUGGCCAUAUGUUUGGCAAUCUGGCAACUAUAACAUUGAACUCUGACGCACACUAUAGCUUUUACUACCUAAUUAAUUUGUCCAUCGCUAAAGUAGUUUACCUAAAGUUAUCAAUCCUGCUAGAGAAUAUAUCUACUAAUUUUUAUUGCAUAUUAUAUUACUGUUCCUAGCUUGGCUCCUGGUUUUAAUUGCACAGUAUUAUAUUUGCCUUACACAGUUUAGCACAAAAUACAUCAAGUAAUUAUUUCAGUGAGUGGCAGGCAUCCCUGCAGCAACAACGUAAUUGUAU